UACGAAGGGUGCAAACGUUGCUCGGAAUUAUUGGGCGUAAAGCGCACGUAGGCGGCGCACCAAGUCAGGCGUGAAAGCCCUGGGCUCAACCCGGGAAUUGCGCUUGAGACUGGUGUGCUUGAGUACGGGAGAGGAUAGUGGAAUUCCCAGUGUAGAGGUGAAAUUCGUAGAUAUUGGGAAGAACACCGGUGGCGAAGGCGGCUAUCUGGACCGUAACUGACGCUGAGGCGCGAAAGCGUGGGGAGCAAACAGG
Molecule: ribosomal RNA, 253 nt
Filed under: uncultured bacterium
Lineage: Bacteria
Description: partial 16S ribosomal RNA
Rfam family: Bacterial small subunit ribosomal RNA
Source: RNAcentral